Molecule: ribosomal RNA, 481 nt
Filed under: uncultured bacterium
Lineage: Bacteria
Description: partial 16S ribosomal RNA
Rfam family: Bacterial small subunit ribosomal RNA
Source: RNAcentral
AUUGAACGCUGGCGGCAUGCUUUACACAUGCAAGUCGAACGGUAACAGGCCGCAAGGUGCUGACGAGUGGCGAACGGGUGAGUAAUGCAUCGGAACGUGCCCAGUCGUGGGGGAUAACUACUCGAAAGAGUAGCUAAUACCGCAUACGAUCUAUGGAUGAAAGCGGGGGACCGUAAGGCCUCGCGCGAUUGGAGCGGCCGAUGUCAGAUUAGGUAGUUGGUGGGGUAAAGGCUCACCAAGCCAACGAUCUGUAGCUGGUCUGAGAGGACGACCAGCCACACUGGGGCUGAGAGGCGACCCAGGCUCCGACGGGAGGCAGCAGUGGGGAAUUUAGGACAAUGGGCGCAAGCCUGAACCAGCAAUGCCGCGUGCAGGAAGAAGGCCUUCGGGUUGUAAACUGCUUUUGUACGGAACGAAACGGCUCUGGUUAAUACCCGGGGCUAAUGACGGUACCGUAAGAAUAAGCACCGGCUAACUACGU